Molecule: ribosomal RNA, 250 nt
Filed under: Campylobacter jejuni
Lineage: Bacteria; Pseudomonadati; Campylobacterota; Epsilonproteobacteria; Campylobacterales; Campylobacteraceae
Description: partial 23S ribosomal RNA
Rfam family: Bacterial large subunit ribosomal RNA
Source: RNAcentral
UAAAAAAAGGUAAGCUACUAAGAGCGAAUGGUGGAUGCCUUGACUGGUAAAGGCGAUGAAGGACGUACUAGACUGCGAUAAGCUACGGGGAGCUGUCAAGAAGCUUUGAUCCGUAGAUUUCCGAAUGGGGCAACCCAAUGUAUAGAGAUAUACAUUACCUAUAUAGGAGCGAACGAGGGGAAUUGAAACAUCUUAGUACCCUCAGGAAAAGAAAUCAAUAGAGAUUGCGUCAGUAGCGGCGAGCGAAAGC